Molecule: small nuclear RNA, 197 nt
Filed under: Piliocolobus tephrosceles (Ugandan red Colobus)
Lineage: Eukaryota; Metazoa; Chordata; Mammalia; Primates; Cercopithecidae
Description: U2 spliceosomal RNA (ENSPTEG00000023093.1)
Rfam family: U2 spliceosomal RNA
About the family: U2 is a small nuclear RNA (snRNA) component of the spliceosome (involved in pre-mRNA splicing).
Source: Rfam by way of RNAcentral
AUCACUUCUUGGUCUUUUUGCUAAGAUCAACUGUGGUAUCUGUUUUUGUCAGUUUAAUGUGUGAUUCAUCCCUUAUCUGAGACAAUAUAUUAAAUGGACUUUUAGAACUAGGAGAUGGACUAGAAAGUUGCUCCACCUACUUCAUGCCUCCACACAUUGACUUGAUAUUGCAGUACUUCCACAAAAAAGAAAAGAAA